GAUAAACGCUGGCGGCGUGCCUAAUACAUGCAAGUCGAGCGAACGGACAACGGAUCUUCGGAACUGUUGGAAGUGAGCGGCGAACGGGUGAGUAACACGUAGGUAACCUGCCCUUGAGAUUGGGAUAACAGUUGGAAACGACUGCUAAUACCGAAUAGGAACAGCUGAGGCAUCUCGGCAGUUUAAAAGGAGCUUUCGGGCUUCACUUAAGGAUGGACCUGCGGCGCAUUAGCUAGUUGGUGGGGUAAUGGCCCACCAAGGCAACGAUGCGUAGCCGACCUGAGAGGGUGAUCGGCCACACUGGGACUGAGACACGGCCCAGACUCCUACGGGAGGCAGCAGCAGGGUUUGAUCAUGGCUCAGUAACAGCCGCCGCAGUAACAC
This 384-nucleotide ribosomal RNA is filed under the name uncultured bacterium. Its description in RNAcentral is "bacterial SSU rRNA". It matches the Rfam family "Bacterial small subunit ribosomal RNA", at positions 28 to 397 of the family's 1533-position model. The record is from RNAcentral.